CCGCUAUUGGAGUUCGAUUAAGCCAUGCGAGUCGAGAGUCCUCGGGACUCGGCGUACCGCUCAGUAACACGUGGGUAACCUGCCCUAUGCUGGGGAAUAACCUCGGGAAACUGAGAAUAAUGCCCCAUAGCCCACUACGCCUGGAACGGUGAGUGGGUCAAAGCCCCGGCGGCAUAGGAUGGGCCUGCGCCGUAUCAGGUUGUAGGGGGUGUAAAGUACCCUCUAGCCAUCAACGCGUACGGGUGUUGGGAGACAUUGCCCGGAGAUGGAUUCUGAGACACGAAUCCAGACCCUACGGGGUGCAGCAGGCGCGAAAACUUGGCAAUGCGAGAAAUCGUGACCAGGGAACUCCAAGUGCGUAGGGUAAGACCUACGCUUUUCUUGACUCUUCAAAGGUCUUGGAAUAAGGGGUGGGUAAGGACGGUGCCAGCCGCCGCGGUAAUACCGGCGCCUCAAGUGGUAGUCGCUUUUAUUGGGCCUAAAACGUCCGUAGCCGGUCUGGUGCAUUCGUGGGUAAAUCAACCCGCUCAACGGGUUGAAUUCUGCGAGCACGGCCAGACUUGGGACCGGGAGAGGUGUGGGGUACUCUCAGGGUAGGGGUAAAAUCCUGUCAUCCUGAGAGGACCACCUGUUGCGAAGGCGCCACACUAGAACGGAUCCGACGGUCAGGGACGAAACCUAGGGGCACGAACCGGAUUAGAUACCCGGGUAGUCCUAGGUGUAAACGCUGUGGACUUGAUGUUGGGGGCGCUCCGAGCGCUCUCAGUGUCGAAGCGAAGGUGAUAAGUCCACUGCCUGGGGAGUACGGUCGCAAGGCUGAAACUUAAAGGAAUUGGCGGGGGAGCACUGCAACCUGAGGAUUGUGCGG
Molecule: ribosomal RNA, 868 nt
Filed under: uncultured archaeon
Lineage: Archaea
Description: bacterial SSU rRNA
Rfam family: Archaeal small subunit ribosomal RNA
Source: RNAcentral